UGAGCCCCUGUGUCUACCAAGAAUUGAGUGG
RNAcentral lists this non-coding RNA (31 nucleotides) under Mus musculus (house mouse). Lineage: Eukaryota; Metazoa; Chordata; Mammalia; Rodentia; Muridae. The record is from RNAcentral.